This 375-nucleotide ribosomal RNA is filed under the name Triticum aestivum (bread wheat). Its description in RNAcentral is "partial small subunit ribosomal RNA". The record is from RNAcentral. Lineage: Eukaryota; Viridiplantae; Streptophyta; Magnoliopsida; Poales; Poaceae.
AUGAACGCAAUGAAAACUAGCUUGACGAUAUUCCCAUGUGUCCUCGGGAGCGCUUUUACUUAUAUAAGAGUUUGUUCCGGCUUGUCCUUUGCUACAAAAAGGAUUGGGCCACCUUGCUGCAUUUUAUUUACUUUUGUUACUUGUUGCUCGUUACAAUUUAUCUUAUCACAAAACUAUCUGUUACCACUUAUUUCAGUACUUGCAGAGAAUACCUUGCUGAAAACCGCUUAUCAUUUCCUUCUGCUCCUCAUUGGGUUCGACACUCUUACUUAUCAAAAGGACUAUGAUAGAUCCCCUAUACUUGUGGGUCAUCAGCUUGCUUUCAACCUCCGCGGCCACCAUGGCGACACCGACUGCUUUCCUGCAUCCUUGUGA